Molecule: long non-coding RNA, 535 nt
Filed under: Manduca sexta (tobacco hornworm)
Lineage: Eukaryota; Metazoa; Arthropoda; Insecta; Lepidoptera; Sphingidae
Description: uncharacterized LOC119193439
Source: RNAcentral
CGCAGGCCGACGCCGACUCGCUCGCCGCGCAGCUGCACCGCCGCGCCGCCGACCUCGACCGGAAGGAUCGAGUUAUCGCCGACAUGCAGCGAGAGAGCCAGCGACUGGUCGCCGAGUUCGAGGCGCGACGCACCGCGCUCGAGGGGACCGCGGCGGACCAGCAGAGAGAGUAACCGCUGCGCUGUACCACUCGCACACCACUCACACGCGGCUGUCGACAGAUGAGGUACUGAGCGGCGUGCGUUGCAGGUGGGAGCGGCGCGUGGCGGCGGCGACGGAGGCGCGGCGCGAGGCGGAGGCGGAGGCGGCGCGGGCCGAGCGCGCAUGCGCAGAGCUGCAGAGCCAGCUCCAGCUGUUGCAGCACAAGCUCUCGGAGGCAGAGGAACGCAUUGACCGUUUGACUCAGUCGACAACGACUCUCUCGGACGCCAACGAGCGACUGAUCGGCGAGCUCGACGACAAGUCGCAGGUGAACUCGCGGCGCCGCGCGUCUGCACUCGCACUGCGCGCGGCCUCCAUGUGCAGCAGUCAUGUG